CGAAGGUCCCAAGCGUUAUCCGGAUUUAUUGGGUUUAAAGGGUGCGUAGGCGGGUUAUUAAGUCAGUGGUGAAAGCUCCAUGCCUAACAUGGAAAUUGCCAUUGAUACUGAUGAUCUUGAGUACAUUUGAAGUGGGCGGAAUGUGUCAUGUAGUGGUGAAAUACUUAGAUAUGACACAGAACACCGAUUGCGUAGGCAGCUCACUAAACUGUAACUGACGCUGAGGCACGAAAGCGUGGGGAGCAAACAGGAUUAGAUACCCUGGUAGUCCACGCCCUAAACGAUGAUCACUCGAUGUGUGCGAUACACUGUACGCGUCCAAGCGAAAGCAUUAAGUGAUCCACCUGGGGAGUACGGCCGCAAGGCUG
Molecule: ribosomal RNA, 368 nt
Filed under: uncultured organism
Description: bacterial SSU rRNA
Rfam family: Bacterial small subunit ribosomal RNA
Source: RNAcentral